UACAGAGGGUGCAAGCGUUGUCCGGAAUCACUGGGCGUAAAGGGCGCGUAGGUGGCCUGAUAAGUAGGAGGUGAAAUCCUGGGGCUUAACCUCAGGGCUGCCCUCUAGACUGUCCGGCUCGAGCACAGUAGAGGCAGGUGGAAUUCCCGGUGUAGCGGUGGAAUGCGUAGAGAUCGGGAAGAACAUCGGUGGCGAAGGCGGCCUGCUGGGCUGUUGCUGACACUGAGGCGCGACAGCGUGGGGAGCAAACAGG
This 253-nucleotide ribosomal RNA is filed under the name uncultured bacterium. Its description in RNAcentral is "partial 16S ribosomal RNA". It matches the Rfam family "Bacterial small subunit ribosomal RNA", at positions 524 to 776 of the family's 1533-position model. The record is from RNAcentral.